Molecule: long non-coding RNA, 347 nt
Filed under: Mytilus galloprovincialis (Mediterranean mussel)
Lineage: Eukaryota; Metazoa; Mollusca; Bivalvia; Mytilida; Mytilidae
Source: RNAcentral
CAGAAUCAUGGCAUUGAAUACGAAGUGGGCGGCUGAGUACCAAGAAUCUACUGGCAAAGCGGAAAAACAAGAACGAUGAAAAGAACAGAAAGCUGGACAAAAGGACAUAUCGAAAAUAUCUGAACUAAAACGAGAAUUAGAUGAUCUAAAAAUAGAACGAGACAGAAACAAAGAUUCUCGUUAAUAUAGAGGAGGACACAGAGGAUGUCGGAUUAACAACCAAAACAGACGUUAGUUUUAUUAAAGACAAAAAGAAUGUUAAUAUGUUAACUGAUAUGCUAUUUGAGUAUUUUUUUAUAAUGAACUCACAUCAAAACAAAUUAAUUAAAAUUAAAUCUAUACCGGAC